Populus nigra (black poplar) is the source of this 2428-nucleotide RNA transcript. It is a transcript of the gene named calmodulin-lysine N-methyltransferase-like, with no coding region annotated. The record is from RefSeq and is a predicted model, not a curated record. The transcript has 2 exons. NCBI's taxonomy places the organism in Eukaryota, Viridiplantae, Streptophyta, Magnoliopsida, Malpighiales, Salicaceae.
GAAUAAGGCAUGAACAUGCAUAUUGGGUUAUACUCAAAAUCUUGAUUAGAAAAUUUUAAAUAGUUUUGAAUUUGAUACACGAAAGUUAGGGAGAUGAUCUUUUUAAUCUAUAAAACAAAAAUGUUAUGAGUACUAAAAACAAAAACAAAAUAAGGUUGAAGGAUCAGAAAUGUGAUUAUCCUGAAAUAUAACAAAGGAGCCAACUUGGUUAAAAACAAGAAUGAAAUGGAAGCCAGAGCAAAUACAAAACCAUCAUCUCUCACUCUCAGAUGGGCAAUCUUACGCCAAGCCCUUCCUUCUUCGCAAAUCCCAUGAAAAUCCUGGUGCUUCCUUAAUCUCUCCCAACACGUCAAUUAUGACAUGUUUUUGUAACUUGAUUAGUUUUUGUAGCUUGUAUGUUAGUUUGGGAUUGAUUAGUUUUUGUAGCUUGUAUGUUAGUUUGGGACAAUGUCGAAAACCAAUUAUUUUGCAGAUAAUCAAUCACCCAGUGCUAUCAAGCGAAUUUCUAGAAAACCCAUCUAGGAUUUAACUUGAUACCAGGCCAAGCAGUUGAAGACCAUGUCAAUGAAGAAUCAAACUUUAUAGAUGUUUGCAUUUGUGGAGUUCAUCAUUUAUUCAGCUUCUUCAAGAAUGUUGAUUUUAAGAUAAGUUUAUCAUUUAUACAGAUUCUGGAAGACACUUUUGAUAGAACAUGGUUAUGUGGUUACAUUUGAUUUCAUAAUGGCAGUUGAUAUGCACCACAAUUGUUAGUUGUUUAACACGGUUUUGGAUUGGUGGGAAGACUGAAACUUGAAUACUUGUGGGAGAAAAUUUAAAUGGCAUGAGCAUCUUCUUUGUUAUCUUUGUUACUUUCACUAUAAAGGUGUUGUUAUCCAGGUCAGUGGCCAUCUGAAGAUGUCCUUUCAUAUUUUUGCUUGUCACAUGCAGACAUGUUCAGAUUUCAUGAUAAGUUAGGUUAACUUGGUAAGAUAUGAUGUGGGAAGUUUAGAUGGUUGAAUCUUUUCUAAACCUAAGGCAGUGGCGUGCUAUUGUCUGAUUGGGGUUAUUCAUUGAAUAAGAGUCAUAAGAAGAUUUCACGUCUGUACCACAUUGAAAAAUUAACAUGUCAAUUGGAAGCAUGUACAUAGAUUGUGGAAUUGAAGUCUGUUUGCAUUAUCUUCUGAGAAUUUCAAGUUGCCCAUGAUUCAAUAUAUACUUGUUUAGAUUUCAGUUAAUGUAAAGCUCUAAGUUUCUCAAAUUGUUAGUGAUGAGCCUAGAAUUGGUUUCAAGGCCUGCUCUAGUAAUCAGAAUAUGAAUCAGGUUGGACGGUCUUCAUCCUGGGCUAGCCCUUGCUUGCAUCUUCUUUAAGAUUUGAAGUUAUUGUAAACAUUUACUUUCUGUCAUUGAGAUUCAAGAUGUCUUACAUUGUUUUGUAUUUUCUCAUUUAUGAAAAGAAAGGUUAUUUGAAGAUAACAAUAGUGCUUUUGAAUAAAGUUUAAAUAUGUUUGUUUUUGGUGUGUCAAUUAGAGAUAUAAGGAUGCAUAAGUCAUCACAUAGCCAUAUCAGAGGCUUAGCUCUUUGGUUGUUGCUGGUCAUUAGCUUUGCAAUGGGAACAUCAGUUUAGAACUAAAUUUUUGUUGGGUUGCUGGGUUAUGAUUCAAAACUUUUAUAUUCACUUUGAGUAUGAGCGUGGCAUUGCUCCACUUUCUCUUUCUCUUUUAUGUUCUUUGACAUCCAGACAUUCAGCAUAGCAUAGAUGCCAGCUCCACAGCAUUUGGCAAUACAGAAUUGAAGAGUAUGACAUUGCAUUGGGAUGAGGAAGUAACUUAUAAUAUCUCCAACACUUUUGAUGUCAUAGUUGCCUGUGACUUCACCUUUUUUUGAAGAGUUCCACAGUGCCCUUGCUUGUACCGUCAAACUCUUGUUAAGAAAUUCUGGGCCUUUGGAAGCAAUAUUCUUUAGCCCUAAAAGAGGAGAUACGUUGGACAAACUCCUAAAGAAAGUUGAAGAAAAUGGGCUGAAUUUCUCUAUUAUAGAGAACUAUGACUCUGAAGUUUGGAAGUGUCAUCAAGGUUGUAUGGCCGGUGACGACUCCUGGCCCAGCUAUGAAAAGCAUCAUUGCUACCCGUUAUUUGUUAGAAUACAUUAUAAACUCUCGCGGCCUUUUAUUUUUCGUUCGUAUCCAGUAUUUUUAGGUAAAGGGUACUCCAUUUAUCUGUGUCAUGCAGCAGUAUGUAGCGGACUUUUUUUACUUGCUGGAUGCAGUAUAGUAGCCUACUAUAGUGGUGGGUCCGAAGUCCCUUAUAUUGUGCAAUCCUAGGAACUAAAUUGUGUGGGUCUGAUUGGUUGAUGAUUCGCCAACUGGAAAGGAAAGCCUGGAGAUGCCGUUUUUAAUAAUUAUUAUUAUUAUCUUGGCUUAACAUAAAGAUGCUGUUUUUGAUUGGCUUUA